AACGAACGCUGGCGGCAUGCCUAACACAUGCAAGUCGAACGAGACCGUCGGGUCUAGUGGCGCACGGGUGCGUAACGCGGGGGAACCUGCCCUUAGGUUCGGAAUAACUCCCCUAAAGGGGUGCUAAGACCGGAUAAUGUCAUCGGACCAAGGAUUUAUCGCCUUUGGGUGGGCCCGCGUUGGAUUAGCUAGUUGGUAGGGGAAAAGCCUACCAAGGCGACGAUCCAUAGCUGGUCGGAGAGGAUGAUCAGCCACACUGGGACUGGGACACGGCCCAGACUCCUACGGGAGGCAGCAGUGGGGAAUCUUGGACAGUGGGCGAGAGCCUGAUCCAGCAAUGCCGCGUGAGUGAUGAAGGCCUUAGGGUUGUAAAGCUCUUUUACCCGGGAUGAUAAUGACAGUACCGGGAGAAUAAGCUCCGGCUAACUCCGUG
RNAcentral lists this ribosomal RNA (433 nucleotides) under uncultured bacterium. RNAcentral's name for it is "partial 16S ribosomal RNA". It matches the Rfam family "Bacterial small subunit ribosomal RNA", at positions 29 to 507 of the family's 1533-position model. The record is from RNAcentral.